CAUGUCUCUGAUCAUCCUCAUCCUCACACUGAUUUUCUGUUGUUCUGGUUCUGUGGCUCAGUUUACUGUCAGUCAGGAUGCUGCAAUGUCUGGGACUCCUGGUGAAAGUGUCCGUCUUUCCUGUAGUCAGAGUGGAGGAUCAGUAACUGGGGAUAACUAUCCCGCCUGGUACCUACAGACACCUGGAAGUGCCCCUAAACUGAUAAUGCAUAGUAGUGGUACUGGCAACCAGAAUGUCAGACCCUCUGGAAUAUCAGAUCGGUUCUCAGGAUCCAUAUCAGGGGGAUCAGCCGUUCUGUCUAUCAGUAGAUUGCAGGCUGAUGAUGACGGAGUUUAUCACUGUCUUCUCUAUGGUGUGCUCUCUGGUUCUAGUCAGUACACAGUGAUGUUUAGAGAUAGUAUCAUGUGA
This is a non-coding RNA of Nanorana parkeri, 409 nucleotides long. NCBI's taxonomy places the organism in Eukaryota, Metazoa, Chordata, Amphibia, Anura, Dicroglossidae. The record is from the annotation of a RefSeq genome assembly.